RNAcentral lists this ribosomal RNA (448 nucleotides) under uncultured microorganism. RNAcentral describes it as "bacterial SSU rRNA". It matches the Rfam family "Bacterial small subunit ribosomal RNA", at positions 346 to 789 of the family's 1533-position model. The record is from RNAcentral.
GUGCAGCAGUCGCGAAACUUCGGCAAUGGGCGAAAGCCUGACCGAGCGACGCCGCGUGCGGGAUGAAGGCCUUCGGGUUGUAAACCGCUGUCAGAGGGGAGGAAAUGUCAGGGGGUCACCUCCUGGCUUGACCUAUCCUCAGAGGAAGGACGGGCUAAGUUCGUGCCAGCAGCCGCGGUAAGACGAACCGUCCAAACGUUAUUCGGAAUUACUGGGCUUAAAGGGUGCGUAGGCGGCCGUGCAAGUCGGGUGUGAAAUCCCUCGGCUCAACCGAGGAACUGCGCCCGAUACUGCUCGGCUAGAGGGAGACAGAGGUGAGCGGAACUUGCGGUGGAGCGGUGAAAUGCGUUGAUAUCGCAAGGGGACACCCGUGGCGAAAGCGGCUCACUGGGUCUCUUCUGACGCUGAGGCACGAAAGCUAGGGGAGCGAACGGGAUUAGAUACCCCU